Molecule: ribosomal RNA, 253 nt
Filed under: uncultured bacterium
Lineage: Bacteria
Description: partial 16S ribosomal RNA
Rfam family: Bacterial small subunit ribosomal RNA
Source: RNAcentral
GACGUAGGUGGCAAGCGUUGUCCGGAAUUAUUGGGCGUAAAGCGCGCGCAGGUGGUUUCUUAAGUCUGAUGUGAAAGCCCACGGCUCAACCGUGGAGGGUCAUUGGAAACUGGGGGACUUGAGUGCAGGAGAGAAGAGUGGAAUUCCACGUGUAGCGGUGAAAUGCGUAGAGAUGUGGAGGAACACCAGUGGCGAAGGCGACUCUUUGGCCUGUAACUGACGCUGAGGCGCGAAAGCGUGGGGAGCAAACAGG